UUAGUUUUAUUUAUCAAAAAAUGAAAAGAAAUUUAAAAACAAAAUAAUUGGUUUUUAAAGACAACAGUAGUAAGCAUGAAAUGCAUUUUGUGUUUGGCAGGAAACAAUUGAAUCUUUAAGAAACCAUGCAAAGUACCAGAGAAGGAUGUUUGACCAAGCUGUUCAAUUAGUUCGACCAGAGGAGUAAUUGUCUACUCCACUUGUACGAUUAAUCCCGGGAGAAUGAAGCAUUAGUUCGAUAUGCUUUGGAUAAAUACAAAUAUCUGUCAUUGGCACCGCAGCAUCCAAGAAUUGGGGGACCGGGUCUAGUUGGUAGCUGUGAAUUUCCGGAUGGAUAUGUAGAGGAGUGGUUACGACCUGGGGAGGAAGAGCUUGUUCAGAGGUUUGAUCCAUCAUCCUCCCCUUGAUACAAUUGGAUUUUUCAU
Non-coding RNA from Vigna umbellata (rice bean), 425 nucleotides. NCBI's taxonomy places the organism in Eukaryota, Viridiplantae, Streptophyta, Magnoliopsida, Fabales, Fabaceae. The record is from RefSeq and is a predicted model, not a curated record.